CUCGGACUCAAGUGUCCCGCGGGUCUCAGGUGGUCGUCAAUAAUUUAUUUUAUUGUGUCCGUUUUUUCUGUGCAUCACCUUGACCCUCUCGCUUCUAGAGGGUGUGGAAGGCUGUGGUUGGCGUGCUGCUUCAUCGUGAGGCCCCUGGGAGCUGUGUGGCACUAAGCCUCCGUGGGUGCUAGGCCGUGAUGGAUGCCGAGGGCCAGUGGUCGGGAAGCUCCCCCGCUGAGCACCGCUACGCUACUCAAGGGCCGCUCGCCACCAGCGCCGAAUGCCACUGAGGGCAGGCAGGUAUCGGCCACAUCUCAGCGGAGAGGCGGGAGGCUGCGGCAGUAAGCUUGGUUUGCUAAUUAGGCUUCAGCCUCCCUCUGAAGCGGCGAUCCAAAGCAAUCAUGCUCAAGGAUCAUAAUUGCUGGCUUGAAUAUGAUUUUAUCACACCUGGAGGCGACUCUAAGCUGUGUUGUCAGCAUAACGUGGCCUCGAGGACUGUGUUCACCCGUGCAGCUGGAACAGCCAAGGCAGCCGUGUAAUUAUUUCUAUUAAGCCUCUCAUAUCACUUGAAGUGUUUCAAGAAAAGAAAUAAAUUGGCCCCUGUUUGGAAAGUCUUCUCUUUCUUUUACUUCUUUUUGUAAGGGCAGAUAAGUGGGUUAUGUUUUUUCUCUCCUUUCUUUUUCUUUACCACUGUUGCCAACUUCCUUUACUUUAUAAAAAAAAUAUAUAUAUUUGCCUCGUGAAAGAUUUUUAAA
Molecule: long non-coding RNA, 746 nt
Organism: Scylla paramamosain (green mud crab)
Lineage: Eukaryota; Metazoa; Arthropoda; Malacostraca; Decapoda; Portunidae
Exons: 3
Source: RefSeq, a predicted model, not a curated record